This 399-nucleotide ribosomal RNA is filed under the name uncultured bacterium. RNAcentral's name for it is "bacterial SSU rRNA". It matches the Rfam family "Bacterial small subunit ribosomal RNA", at positions 64 to 507 of the family's 1533-position model. The record is from RNAcentral.
GAGCGGGCGUAGCAAUACGUCAGCGGCAGACGGGUGAGUAACGCGUGGGAACGUACCUUUUGGUUCGGAACAACACAGGGAAACUUGUGCUAAUACCGGAUAAGCCCUUACGGGGAAAGAUUUAUCGCCGAAAGAUCGGCCCGCGUCUGAUUAGCUAGUUGGUAGGGUAACGGCCUACCAAGGCGACGAUCAGUAGCUGGUCUGAGAGGAUGAUCAGCCACAUUGGGACUGAGACACGGCCCAAACUCCUACGGGAGGCAGCAGUGGGGAAUAUUGGACAAUGGGCGCAAGCCUGAUCCAGCCAUGCCGCGUGAGUGAUGAAGGCCCUAGGGUUGUAAAGCUCUUUUGUGCGGGAAGAUAAUGACGGUACCGCAAGAAUAAGCCCCGGCUAACUUCGUG